RNAcentral lists this small RNA (288 nucleotides) under fish gut metagenome. Its description in RNAcentral is "5' ureB small RNA". The record is from RNAcentral.
CUGCUGAGGGGCUACCAUGUGUACGUGUCCGUCUAUACCGGCGGCAGUAAGUAUUAAAUGCUCCCCUGAUAUAGCAUCCGUAGAUGGCCCUGUCACAAGAUCCGGCGAAACACCUUUCAUUAUAUUUGGAUUUCCGGCUUUACCUAUUCCGGCAAUUUUUCCAUCUUUAAUUCCGACAUCUGCCUUAACAACACCCAAUAUUGGAUCUAAAAUUGUAACAUUUGUAAUUACAGUAUCAAGUGAACCAUCUUUGGAUGUCAUAGUAUUAGCAAGCCCCAUACCAUCUCU